Molecule: ribosomal RNA, 285 nt
Filed under: Hyphomonas sp.
Lineage: Bacteria; Pseudomonadati; Pseudomonadota; Alphaproteobacteria; Hyphomonadales; Hyphomonadaceae
Description: partial 23S ribosomal RNA
Rfam family: Bacterial large subunit ribosomal RNA
Source: RNAcentral
GUUUGGUCCCUAUCUGCCGUGGGUGUUGGAUACUUGAGAGGAUUUGUCCCUAGUACGAGAGGACCGGGAUGAACACACCUCUGGUGGACCUGUUGUGGCGCCAGCCGCAUUGCAGGGUAGCUAUGUGUGGACUAGAUAACCGCUGAAAGCAUCUAAGCGGGAAACUAACCUCAAAACCAGGUAUCCCUGAGAGCCGUGCAAGACCAGCACGUCGAUAGGCCGGGUGUGGAAGCGCAGCGAUGCGUGGAGCUAACCGGUACUAAUUGCUCGAUAGGCUUGAUUGUU